RNAcentral lists this long non-coding RNA (1968 nucleotides) under Cervus hanglu yarkandensis (Yarkand deer). RNAcentral describes it as "lncRNA (ENSCHYG00000015885.1)". The record is from RNAcentral. Lineage: Eukaryota; Metazoa; Chordata; Mammalia; Artiodactyla; Cervidae.
CAUGGAUGUCUCUAGAUUGAGUGUAUAUUUCAUGGAAUGUUUUUCCUUUAGCAGUAUUUGUCAAGGAUUCUUCAGAUUAUCUGAUGUCUCUCUUAAAAUCUAUGAAGAAGCUGUUUCAGGAAUGUAUAGCUCUCUGGAGUCCCAUUUCAGUUGCUACAGUAAGGAUUGAGCAUGAUGAAAAACAUUUUGAACACAAAUGUUCCAUGAUAUAAGCUGGGUUUCUGUAGACGUUGGAACUCCCAUGAAUACUGAGAAAGAAGUUGGACUGUUUAGGAAACGCAAGUGAUGCUGCUGGAAGGACAGGUCUGUUGUUUCAACUCUUUGUUUAAUAAUUUUCACUGAGGAGUAGCUGGUUCCUAGAUCAGUAAUAUGACAUCUUUCUAUGGUCUCCAAAUAGUCUGUAAAUUCUAUAGAACUUACUUCUCUUGGCAGACUUCAUGAAAGUCUUGGAGUUCUUCAAAAUGUGUUUGCUGGUGCUAUCAGAUUCAAAAGACUCGGACUUCUGAGGCCCAAGACCUUACUGUUUAGUAAGAGCCAUGGAACUAAGCACAAAAAAAAAAUCAAAGUUUUAUCUUGGCUCUGACUGUGCUGCAAAAACUCUUCAGGAGAAAUUAAAGUCUUAGCUGCACCCAAGAGAGGUCCAUAAAUAUCAGGACUAGUUUUUCACUGCAACUUAACACACAGAUUAGGAUUACUAUUCAUAUCACUAUUUUAUGUGACAUGGUUAUCAUGUCGUCAUCUGAACGGAACUCAUGGUUUUGUGCCAAGCACUAAAAGAAGUAGAUUAUUUUUUCCAAGUAGGUGUCAUUUAGCAUUCUGUAUCCUUAAUGACACCCUAGAUACUUGAAAGAGUUAAUGUUUGUCCUCUUGGUAUCAGGAAGUAACCUAACGCUCAAUGAAAAUGUAGAUCCUCAUUAUUAUAAUCAGAGAUAAUGAGGAUAAAUGUGUGGAGAUAAUUGGUGCACAGUGACUGCAGAAGGAUGACAAGCGUGGACAACACUGUUUGGCAGGACCACACAUUGUUACAGGGGGAGCAGCUGAUAAGCUCUGAAGUCUUUAAUUGCUUAAUCUAUUCGGCUUCAGGUUUAUACAGUGCCCAUCACCUGGGCCCUAUUUUUUAUAACUAUCUGCUGAACAUUGGCUGAGUCAAAAUUGUUUUGUUAUGAGUUAUUCACAUCACCUUAGGGAGGCUGGCUUAUAUUACGAGCCUCAAUUUUCCCAUAAGCCACUGAACAUGAAAACAUAUUUCAGGGUAAAUUAGUUCCUAAGAGGAGUGUGAGACCAUGACACUUUGCUGGCUCAUUCUUCCCUAUAUGCUGAACUAGGAAGCAAAUUUUUAUUUUUAACUCCCACGUUUUCAAUACCACCCUAAAAUAAGAACACUGGCCAUAGAUCAGGCAGUUGGGGGUGGGGGGCUGGGGUGGUAAGUGGGAGACUGACCUGGGCUUGCUGCUAAGAAGGCAAUGACUUGAAAAGGCAGUUGGCUUGAGAGAAAAAAGGAUCUGGUGCUAAAAGAAAAAAAAAGUACCUAAAGAUGACAUGGUAUAAAUUGCCCACAAGCCCUCCUAUCAUUUCCAAAAUACAAUAAUAAAAAUGGAUUCCUCCCCUAGCCAUGUAAUAAUGUGUCUUCUCUUGCCUUUUUAUGAUUUUCCUUUAAUUGCAGAGCAAAGCUUGGUGUUCAUGUUUCUCUAAUUUAACCUGAGUAAAUUUGUGAAGGAAGGAGUAAGAGGAACACACGGGUGAUAUGUCCGGAGACUGCAAUUGCCUUGCAAUUGUACUUGACACCGGGUAUUGCACUGCUCAAAGAAUAUAAUCCACCAAGCAUUAUUUCCUUCUUGAAGAACUGGUCUAACAUGUCAUGGUACAGUUUCCCAUUUCUUUUUUAAACAUUUCAUCUUCCACCAUUCAGAUGCAAACAUCUAAAUUUACAGCACUGCACAGUUUCAGCAGCACUUUGUUUCUUUUAUA